GAUGAACGCUGGCGGCGUGCCUAAUACAUGCAAGUCGAGCGAACAGACGAGGAGCUUGCUCCUCUGACGUUAGCGGCGGACGGGUGAGUAACACGUGGAUAACCUACCUAUGAGACUGGGAUAACUUCGGGAAACCGGAGCUAAUACCGGAUAAUAUAUUGAACCGCAUGGUUCAAUAGUGAAAGACGGUUUUGCUGUCACUUAUAGAUGGAUCCGCGCCGCAUUAGCUAGUUGGUAAGGUAACGGCUUACCAAGGCAACGAUGCGUAGCCGACCUGAGAGGGUGAUCGGCCACACUGGAACUGAGACACGGUCCAGACUCCUACGGGAGGCAGCAGUAGGGAAUCUUCCGCAAUGGGCGAAAGCCUGACGGAGCAACGCCGCGUGAGUGAUGAAGGUCUUCGGAUCGUAAAACUCUGUUAUUAGGGAAGAACAAAUGUGUAAGUAACUAUGCACGUCUUGACGGUACCUAAUCAGAAAGCCACGGCUAACUACGUG
RNAcentral lists this ribosomal RNA (497 nucleotides) under uncultured bacterium. RNAcentral's name for it is "partial 16S ribosomal RNA". It matches the Rfam family "Bacterial small subunit ribosomal RNA", at positions 28 to 507 of the family's 1533-position model. The record is from RNAcentral.